CACCAGACUCCUACGGGAGGCAGCAGUGAGGAAUAUUGGGCAAUGGAGGCAACUCUGACCCAGCCAUGCCGCGUGAGUGAAGAAGGUUUUCGGAUUGUAAAGCUCUUUCGGAUGUGACGAUGAUGACGGUAGCAUCUAAAGAAGCCCCGGCUAACUACGUGCCAGCAGCCGCGGUAAUACGUAGGGGGCAAGCGUUAUCCGGAUUUACUGGGUGUAAAGGGAGCGUAGACGGCAGCACAAGUCUGGAGUGAAAUGCCGGGGCUUAACCCCGGAACUGCUUUGGAAACUGUGCACUUAGAGUGCAGGAGAGGUAAGUGGAAUUCCUAGUGUAGCGGUGAAAUGCGUAGAUAUUAGGAGGAACACCAGUGGCGAAGGCGGCUUACUGGACUGUAACUGACGUUGAGGCUCGAAAGCGUGGGGAGCAAACAGGAUUAGAUACCCCUGUAGG
Molecule: ribosomal RNA, 448 nt
Filed under: uncultured bacterium
Lineage: Bacteria
Description: bacterial SSU rRNA
Rfam family: Bacterial small subunit ribosomal RNA
Source: RNAcentral